ACUUCCUUCGGGGAGGGGAUUAGCGGCGGACGGGUGAGUAACACGUGGGUAACCUGCCUCAAAGAGGGGGAUAGCCUUCCGAAAGGGAGAUUAAUACCGCAUAACAUUAUUUUAUGGCAUCAUAGAAUAAUCAAAGGAGCAAUCCGCUUUGAGAUGGACCCGCGGCGCAUUAGCUAGUUGGUGAGGUAAGGGCUCACCAAGGCGACGAUGCGUAGCCGACCUGAGAGGGUGAUCGGCCACAUUGGAACUGAGACACGGUCCAGACUCCUACGGGAGGCAGCAGUGGGGAAUAUUGCGCAAUGGGGGAAACCCUGACGCAGCAACGCCGCGUGAGUGAUGAAGGUUUUCGGAUCGUAAAACUCUGUCUUUAGGGACGAUAAUGACGGUACCUAAGGAGGAAGCCACGGCUAACUACGUGCCAGCAGCCGCGGUAAUACGUAGGUGGCAAGCGUUGUCCGGAUUUACUGGGCGUAAAGAGUAUGUAGGUGGGUGCUUAAGUCAGAUGUGAAAUUCCCGGGCUUAACCUGGGCGCUGCAUUUGAAACUGGGCAUCUAGAGUGCAGGAGAGGAAAGUGGAAUUCCUAGUGUAGCGGUGAAAUGCGUAGAGAUUAGGAAGAACACCAGUGGC
RNAcentral lists this ribosomal RNA (627 nucleotides) under Clostridium botulinum C. Its description in RNAcentral is "bacterial SSU rRNA". It matches the Rfam family "Bacterial small subunit ribosomal RNA", at positions 73 to 716 of the family's 1533-position model. The record is from RNAcentral. Lineage: Bacteria; Bacillati; Bacillota; Clostridia; Eubacteriales; Clostridiaceae.